Molecule: ribosomal RNA, 433 nt
Filed under: uncultured bacterium
Lineage: Bacteria
Description: partial 16S ribosomal RNA
Rfam family: Bacterial small subunit ribosomal RNA
Source: RNAcentral
AGCGAACGCUGGCGGCAGGCUUAACACAUGCAAGUCGAGCGGGCACUUCGGUGUCAGCGGCAGACGGGUGAGUAACACGUGGGAACGUACCCUUUGGUUCGGAAUAACGCUGGGAAACUAGCGCUAAUACCGGAUACGCCCUUUUGGGGAAAGGCUUGCUGCCGAAGGAUCGGCCCGCGUCUGAUUAGCUAGUUGGUGGGGUAAUGGCCUACCAAGGCGACGAUCAGUAGCUGGUCUGAGAGGAUGAUCAGCCACACUGGGACUGAGACACGGCCCAGACUCCUACGGGAGGCAGCAGUGGGGAAUAUUGGACAAUGGGCGCAAGCCUGAUCCAGCCAUGCCGUGUGAGUGAUGAAGGCCUUAGGGUUGUAAAGCUCUUUUGUCCGGGACGAUAAUGACGGUACCGGAAGAAUAAGCCCCGGCUAACUUCGUG